RNAcentral lists this long non-coding RNA (275 nucleotides) under Aquila chrysaetos chrysaetos. RNAcentral's name for it is "lncRNA (ENSACCG00020002530.1)". The record is from RNAcentral. Lineage: Eukaryota; Metazoa; Chordata; Aves; Accipitriformes; Accipitridae.
GGAAGAUGGCGGCGGCGCUGUUCCGCGGGCGGGUGGCCAUCGUUAUCGGCGGUGGCACCGGCAUCGGCAAGGCCAUCGCCGCCGACUUGCUGGCGCUAGAUGAGCAGCAGAGCUGGUAUGAGGAAGGGAUGGCUUCUGCUGUGGUGCUGAGAUUGUGGAAGGAGGGAACUGGGAGCAAGAUGUCCUUGCCUGCUUGGCGGGAGAAUCUAUGUAGUAGCAAUCACUGAAGCCUUAAAGCUGUCCUGAGUCCACUGGUGUGACAGAAGAAACUAGAC